Limulus polyphemus (Atlantic horseshoe crab) is the source of this 1749-nucleotide long non-coding RNA. RefSeq lists it as uncharacterized. The record is from RefSeq and is a predicted model, not a curated record. The transcript is spliced from 3 exons. NCBI's taxonomy places the organism in Eukaryota, Metazoa, Arthropoda, Merostomata, Xiphosura, Limulidae.
GGAUGGCCGAGCGGUCCAAGGCGCUGCGUUCAGGUCGCAGUCCGGUCUUCCGGGCGUGGGUUCGAAUCCCACUCCUGACAAGUCCACUUCACCCAGCUGAGUACCUCUACUUUUUGUUUUGGAGAAUUUCACCCGCUUUUCACACUCCCGAGGAUGACAUUGAAACAAACUAGAGACAGAGUAAUGGAAAGGCAACUGUAGUCAACAGCAAGCACAACCAUCUCUUAGGCUACUGUUACCUGACUUAAAAGUGGGAUUUGGGUGUCACUCAUGUUAGUGCACCCACAGCCACAAAGUAUGGAGGAUGUUUUUAUGACAGCAAAACAAGAACUCAAGGUUUUAGAAUCAGAAUAUGCUAACCACCAGGCCACACCCAGCCCAGUUUGAUUUUAGGUUAAACUUACUUUAAUAUGUGCAGAUAAGUGUAAGUUUUUUGCUAUUUCUAUUAUCUAUAUACUAACUUUUAUUUUUGAGUAAUCUUAAGGAUUUUGCGUUAGUUUAGUGAACACGUCUAUAUUGUAUAAUUUCUUGUUGGCGGUUAUAAUAGUAAAUAAAUGUUUAGUUUGUUUGUUGAAGAAUGUUGCACAAUAAUCAGCAUAAAAUCUGCCUAAAUCUCACUUGAAUUCAAUAAAAGCAUUUAUAUGUAAGGAAUUUGCUGUUGUUGGCUACGUUUUUAAAUGUUCAUUUGUAUUGUUGCCUGGCAGGACAGCCAUAUGAUAGGUAUGGCCUAUGACUAGAUCCUUCUUGAAGACUUAGGAAAUGACUUGGGCAUUAUAAAAUGAGAGGUAGGCUAGAAUAAAUUAUAAUUGAUUUGUGAGUCUGUUACAGUGGAUGAUUGAUUUCUGAGUUAACGUUUAUUAGUCAGUUUGUCUGUUACUGUUAGUCAGUUAGUUCAAUUUGUAAGAAUUACAAUAUGUAUGAGAGAAUUAGCAGGUAAGUGAAACUGUUGUAUCAAGAAAUUAUAUAUUGUGAAAUAAAUAAAAUAUCUUUAUCAUCAUAAACAGGACAACACUAACAAUUCUUCCUUUUUUUUACUGAAUACUCUAAGAUAACCUGCCCAACAAUAUAAAUUAUUUUUAUAGUAUUUACUCUCGUGUUUUUCUUUCUAUGUGUGUAUGGAUGGUUAGUACUGCAUGGAACCUUAUUUUGAUCAGAAAUUUCAUGAAAUGGAUUCUUAAUUUGAUAAGUUAAAUAAGAAACAUAACAUUCCAGCAUAAUUAAGUGAAUUUAUCUGAAAAAAUAAAUCAGUGAGCAUGUAAAAUAUGAACAAUUCUUUGAAACAUAUUAUGAUAAAGAAAAAAGGACAAAACUUACGAAGUAUAAACGUACUCAACAGAAACUGUUUUACUUAAACAAUAAUCAUAGUAUUUCUUUAAAUUGGUAAUAAAAAUCAAAUCAAUUUAUGAUAGCUUUUGUAUUUUUGUGGAUUUGUUUUAGUGCAUGAAAGAGGAGAAUCAAGUAAAAAAUUGGUAAUAUUCCUUUACCAUCAGUUUUGAAACUGAAGGAUCACAUAUUUUCUUCCAACAAAAAAAAACAUUUGUACCAUUAGAAGUUGAUUUUUUUUACACUACAGUUUUCUAAUAUGGAAACACAAAUGUCAGAGUAACAAUGGCAGGACAGGCUAUGCCUUUCUUAAAGUCUAUAAAAAAAUAGCAAUGGAAGCUUUUUUUUCCCAGCAGGCCCUUAGUUGGUUAUCUUUUUUUUUUUUUUGUAAAAGAGCAAAAGUGUUUCACAUUUGUAUUUAACCAU